UAUGUGGAAGGAUUUGGUUGCUUGCAACCACAUUAAAAAAUGCUAAAAAUGA
Molecule: non-coding RNA, 52 nt
Filed under: bovine gut metagenome
Source: RNAcentral